GACAGGGUGGCUGAGCCAGGUAAAGCGUUGCGCUGUUAACGCAAAGAUCGCAGGUCCGAAGCCUGCCCCUGUCG
RNAcentral lists this transfer RNA (74 nucleotides) under Promethearchaeota archaeon. Its description in RNAcentral is "Candidatus Lokiarchaeota archaeon (marine sediment metagenome) tRNA-Asn". It matches the Rfam family "tRNA". Rfam says of the family: Transfer RNA (tRNA) molecules are approximately 80 nucleotides in length. Their secondary structure includes four short double-helical elements and three loops (D, anti-codon, and T loops). The record is from RNAcentral. RNAcentral also lists the same sequence under 1 other name. Lineage: Archaea; Promethearchaeati; Promethearchaeota.